Molecule: transfer RNA, 72 nt
Filed under: Sphaerodactylus townsendi
Lineage: Eukaryota; Metazoa; Chordata; Lepidosauria; Squamata; Sphaerodactylidae
Description: tRNA-Ala
Rfam family: tRNA
About the family: Transfer RNA (tRNA) molecules are approximately 80 nucleotides in length. Their secondary structure includes four short double-helical elements and three loops (D, anti-codon, and T loops). Further hydrogen bonds mediate the characteristic L-shaped molecular structure. tRNAs have two regions of fundamental functional importance: the anti-codon, which is responsible for specific mRNA codon recognition, and the 3' end, to which the tRNAs corresponding amino acid is attached (by aminoacyl-tRNA synthetases). tRNAs cope with the degeneracy of the genetic code in two manners: having more than one tRNA (with a specific anti-codon) for a particular amino acid; and 'wobble' base-pairing, i.e. permitting non-standard base-pairing at the 3rd anti-codon position.
Source: RNAcentral
GGGGCUUUGGUUCAGUGGUAGAAUAUUUAUUUUGCAUGCAGAAGAUUCCAAGUUCAAUCCCUGGCAUCUCCA